CAGUCGCCACGGUAACACGAAGGGGGCUAGCGUUGUUCGGAUUUACUGGGCGUAAAGCGCACGUAGGCGGAUCGAUCAGUCAGGGGUGAAAUCCCAGAGCUCAACUCUGGAACUGCCUUUGAUACUGUCGAUCUGGAGUAUGGAAGAGGUGAGUGGAAUUCCGAGUGUAGAGGUGAAAUUCGUAGAUAUUCGGAGGAACACCAGUGGCGAAGGCGGCUCACUGGUCCAUUACUGACGCUGAGGUGCGAAAGCGUGGGGAGCAAACAGGAUUAGAUACCCCAGUAGUCCCUGUCUCUUAUAA
This 301-nucleotide ribosomal RNA is filed under the name uncultured bacterium. RNAcentral's name for it is "partial 16S ribosomal RNA". It matches the Rfam family "Bacterial small subunit ribosomal RNA", at positions 509 to 809 of the family's 1533-position model. The record is from RNAcentral.